CUACGGGGUGCUCCAGUGGGGAAUAUUGCACAAUGGGGGAAACCCUGAUGCAGCAACGCCGCGUGGAGGAUGACACAUUUCGGUGCGUAAACUCCUUUUAUAGGUCAAGAUAAUGACGGUAGCCUAUGAAUAAGCGCCGGCUAACUCCGUGCCAGCAGCCGCGGUAAUACGGAGGGCGCAAGCGUUACUCGGAAUCACUGGGCGUAAAGAGCAUGUAGGCGGGUUAAUAAGUCAGAAGUGAAAUCCAAUAGCUCAACUAUUGAACUGCUUUUGAAACUGUUAACCUAGAGUGUGGGAGAGGUAGAUGGAAUUUCUGGUGUAGGGGUAAAAUCCGUAGAGAUCAGAAGGAAUACCGAUUGCGAAGGCGAUCUACUGGAACAUUACUGACGCUGAGAUGCGAAAGCGUGGGAAGCAAACAGGAUUAGAUACCCGCGUAGUC
RNAcentral lists this ribosomal RNA (439 nucleotides) under uncultured bacterium. Its description in RNAcentral is "partial 16S ribosomal RNA". It matches the Rfam family "Bacterial small subunit ribosomal RNA", at positions 339 to 795 of the family's 1533-position model. The record is from RNAcentral.